RNAcentral lists this small nuclear RNA (51 nucleotides) under Otolemur garnettii (small-eared galago). RNAcentral's name for it is "U7 small nuclear RNA". It matches the Rfam family "U7 small nuclear RNA". Rfam says of the family: Animal histone pre-mRNAs are spliced by a different mechanism than nuclear pre-mRNAs and self-splicing introns. Lineage: Eukaryota; Metazoa; Chordata; Mammalia; Primates; Galagidae. The record is from Rfam by way of RNAcentral.
AAGUGUUACAACUCUUUCAGAAUUUGUCUAGUGGGUUUUCUGGUAACCCUC